This 455-nucleotide ribosomal RNA is filed under the name uncultured bacterium. RNAcentral describes it as "bacterial SSU rRNA". It matches the Rfam family "Bacterial small subunit ribosomal RNA", at positions 791 to 1241 of the family's 1533-position model. The record is from RNAcentral.
UAGUCCACACCGUAAACGAUGGAAGCUAGCUGUCAGAAUGUAUACAUUUUGGUGGCGCAGCUAACGCAUUAAGCUUCCCGCCUGGGGAGUACGGUCGCAAGAUUAAAACUCAAAGGAAUUGACGGGGGGCCCGCACAAGCGGUGGAGCAUGUGGUUUAAUUCGAUGCAACGCGAAGAACCUUACCUACCCUUGACAUCCUCAGAACUUGUUAGAGAUAACUUGGUGCCUUCGGGAACUGAGAGACAGGUGCUGCAUGGCUGUCGUCAGCUCGUGUCGUGAGAUGUUGGGUUAAGUCCCGCAACGAGCGCAACCCUUGUCCCUAGUUGCCAGCACAUAAUGGUGGGAACUCUAGGGAGACUGCCGGUGACAAACCGGGAGGAAGGUGGGGAUGGACGUCAAGUCAUCAUGGCCCUUAUGGGGUAGGGGCUACACACGUGCUACAAUGGUCGGUACA